This 301-nucleotide ribosomal RNA is filed under the name uncultured bacterium. Its description in RNAcentral is "partial 16S ribosomal RNA". It matches the Rfam family "Bacterial small subunit ribosomal RNA", at positions 509 to 809 of the family's 1533-position model. The record is from RNAcentral.
CAGUAGCCGCGGGAAUACGUAGGGUGCAAGCGUUAAUCGGAAUUACUGGGCGUAAAGCGUGCGCAGGCGGUUAUAUAAGACAGAUGUGAAAUCCCCGGGCUCAACCUGGGAACUGCAUUUGUGACUGUAUAGCUAGAGUACGGCAGAGGGGGAUGGAAUUCCGGGUGUAGCAGUGAAAUGCGUAGAUAUGCGGAGGAACACCGAUGGCGAAGGCAAUCCCCUGGGCCUGUACUGACGCUCAUGCACGAAAGCGUGGGGAGCAAACAGGAUUAGAUACCCCGGUAGUCCCUGUCUCUUAUAA